GGCAUAAUGUAUUUUAUGGAGUGGAGUGUUGGAGUGGAGUAUUGGAGUGGAGUGUUGGAGUGAGAUUUUGGAGUGAGAUUUUGGAGUGAAAUUUUUGGAGUGAGAUUUUGGAGUGAUUUUUUUUUGGUGAAAAUUUAGAGUAUAUAGUAUAUUAUUCUAGAAGUAGUAGAAUGUUAGGGGGUUAAAUGUUUUGUUUAAUUUUGAACAAGUAUUCAUUAAAAAUAAAGAAAGAAAAAUUACAGUGCUAAAUAUUGAUUUAAAUUUUGAUAACAGAUAAUCAUGAAUAAUUUUUUCAAUUCAAUUUUUUUAAAAACAGUUUUUUAUAAUUUUCUUGCAUAAUUUCUUUUAUCUGUAUAUUCAUUUUCUUUUUUCUUUUUUUUCUUUUAUAAAGUAAAAAUUUUCAAUAUCACAUAUUUUAAAAUUAUUUUCUAUAUUGGUACAACCCGCAAAUGAUUUGCAUAAUAUAUUAUUACCUGAAACCUGUGAUAACCCAGUUCACACGCAAAGAAAUACUGCAACCGUUUAAAGAACAUUAUAGUAAAAUCUGCUGAAACUAUAUUCUUGUGAGUCAAUUGAUUCUAAUGAAUUGAUAACUGUUUCUUCUAAGUUAUCAAUGUUCAUAGUUGUGUACAUCGACGUUACAUCAUAGGCAAUAAGGAUGCAUUCUUUUGUGACCUCGUGUGACUCUAUUUUAUUAAUGAAGUCUUUUGUAUAUUGAAUGUAAAAGUUAUGCCUCUUCAAUAAUGGUUUUAAGAUUAGACCCAGUAAUCUUUCAAUGCGUCUCGUGGGAGAGUUACACUUAUUGAUGAUUGGUCGGUAAGGAAUGUUUAUGUUUCCAACUAUUUGACCAGUUCGGAAUGCCUCAUUAAUCAUUUCUAGAUUAAUUUUAUGAACUUUUGGAAGAAGGUACAUGUGUCCGUGUUUUGAUUCAUUAUUAUUCCUCAAGAAAUUAUAAGUUUGUGGAUCUAUUUCUUUUUUCCUAUAUAGAUUUUCAACAAUAUCUUUUAUAGAUUUGACAACAA
This 1022-nucleotide long non-coding RNA is filed under the name Mytilus galloprovincialis (Mediterranean mussel). Lineage: Eukaryota; Metazoa; Mollusca; Bivalvia; Mytilida; Mytilidae. The record is from RNAcentral.